AUUUAUACAUUUUAUUGUUAUUUAUUAAAUUGAAACUUACAAAACAUGAUAUGUUCUGAUACACAAUACACUACAAUUUUAUUUUGAUCUGUACUGCGUUUCACAAUAAUUUAGCUACUCAUAACAGAGGGCGAACAACAAUAUUUGAUAUAUUGUCAGUAUAGGAAUUUGAUGUUGUCAUGUCGAUUGACUGUCCCCAAAUCAAUCUCCAUGAUUCCAAGCCUUGAAAAUUCCAUUUUUUGAUAUCAAAUAGUUUCCUUACUCUCCAAUUUAGUCUCAACCGAAAUUGCCAUCUUGACUCUCCAAAAUUCCUCCCUUGGGGCUCAAACAGACCUUACCCUUUACAAGAAAACUCACAGCAAUGUUGAGAUAAUCUAAGCAGGGUUGAAGCGUUGUAGAUCAUAGUGUGAAGUCCUAAAUAACAUAGUAUGCUAGGAUGAAAUAGGCAUUGGCAUUUAUUUGUUUAUUUAUUUUUAUUUUUAUGAAAAACAAAUUUUAUUGAUAAAUGGAAUAAGAGAAGCUUCCUAUUAAAAAAAAAAAAAUCAAAGAAGCUUAAAAGGCUGCCAUCACUUAAAGGUACUAAUUCAUUGCCAUUGGAAACCAAAGACUAAAGAGGAAAGGCUAUGAUUGUUAAAGGGGUAUUGGCAUUUUAAUUCUUAGUGUCUCACUGCUCUAACAUGGUGUCUCGACCUUUACUUUUGAAUUUUGGUAUUUAGGCAAUUCUGCAAGUUAUUGUUGUUCGUGAAAUCCUCUUACUUUCUUGAGUUGUCUAUCUACUUGUGCCUCAUUGUGUUUUAAAUCUCUCAGGUCCCACCAGGUGAUUAUCGCCUAUCUGCUAUGGCAAUCUCUCCAGAAAGUGCUCCUGGACUACUGUUCUCGCCAUCUUAUGUUGAUGUUACAGUUAAAAGUCCCUUACUGAAUGUUGCUUUUUCACAGGUAAUAUUCUGAAUUUUCGCGGACUUCUUAGCCUUAUGGUACUUACUGUUUGUAGACUAUUCGUGAAUCCGUUAAUAAUUAUAAAAAGGAUAUUCUCAUAUUCCUGCUUUUAUACCAUUUGUUAAUUUCUUCACAUGAUAAAGUUUUUUUUAUCCGCUUCCAUUGAUUUAUUUUAUUUUGUACAAUUGAUUAUCAAGGCACUCGUCAAUAUACUUGGUUCUGUAACAUGCAAAGAGAGAUGUGGUUCAUCAGUAUCUAUUACCUUCCAGAGAUUGGCUGGUAAUCAUAUUAGUGAGAAGAAGACUAUCAGUUUGACAGAUGAGAGUAAUGCGUUUCAAAUUCAAGAUGUAAUGCCUGGAAAAUACAGGAUAGAGGUACAGCUAUUUGACCUUAAUAUUUAUAUUUAAUCUCUUGUUGUAGAUGGAACGGAUUUAUGAAAUUACAAGAGGGGGAAAAAGAGAGGGAAUUAGUACAUUGUUUUCCCCAGCCCUUUAUAUUUUCAAGUUAGCUUCAUCUGAAUUGUUGUGUUGUUGUUCAUGGGGGCUGGAAAUGAUAUAUGUCAGUUGCAUCAUCCCUAUAUUUUCUUGUCAAUAUAAUGUUUUUUUCCCACGAAAAAAAGACAAUUUUUUAUGAUGUGAUUAUGAGCACCGUCCCUCGUAUCAUAUGUUCUGCUUGGGCAUCCUUUCAAGGGAGAAAAGAGGACUCUUUGGGUCAAUUACAUUAGAAUUUUAUUUUAGACCAUUUGUAGUAUAUGAAAGUCAUUUUGUGAAUAGGGGAGGUACUUUAAUUAUUUUCUUAAAUCUCUGGUUUUUCUGAUAUAAAAGUUACCUUUUCCUUAAAGAUUUCACUCUUUUAUCUCACAUCCCGUUGGGAAUUUUCUUUUUGGAAUUCUGAGGUAUAGGCAAUAUGGCUUCUUUUUAUAAUUUCAUCACAUCAUUGAAAUUAUAGUUGUUUCUCUCUCUCCAAAAAAAUAAAAAGACCCAUAUUGAAUAUUGAACAUAGAUAGAUAUACAUGCUGAGUAAAUAUCUUUUAAUAGGUUUCACACUCAUCCAUUCAAGGCGGGGUUGGCAAAGAUGAUUGGUGCUGGGAGCGAAACUCCAUUGAAGUGGAUGUUGGUAUUGAGGAUGUACAUGGAAUUGAAUUCAUUCAAAAAGGUUAUUGGGUUAACGUUAUAUCUACUCAUGAUGUGGAUGUUUAUAUUUCUCAAAUGAAUGGGCCACCUAUGAACUUGAAAAUCAAGGUUAUUUCUACUCCAAGUCCCAAAGUUUUGUUUUCCUCUAUGGUUGUAGUUGUAGCAGCCUAGCGGGCAUGACACUGAAAUUGAUUCCCUUUGUUACGCAGAAAGGUUCUCAGUACAUAUGUGUGGAGUCUCCUGGAGUGCACGAAAUUCAGUUCUCCGACUCUUGUAUCUCCUUCGGGAGCUCAUCCGCUAAAAUUGAUACAUUAAACCUAGAGGUAUUGUAUUGUUCCAAAUUUGUUUUUCAUUAUUAUACUUCUGUGAAUUAUUUAUAUGAGAUUAAUUUUUCGUCUCUUUUUUUUGUCAAAUAUUUGUCAGCCCAUCUAUUUAAGAGGAGAAAAAUAUCUACUGAAGGGGAAAAUUAAUGUUGAUCCAGUCUCACUUGGUGUAUAUGAAUUACCUGAAAAUAUUCUGUUGAACGUUGUGGAUGCUGGAGGCAGUGUGGUUGGUAAUACUGAGGCCAAACUUACGUCUGAUGCCAAUAAUCAACCGAAUUUUGCCUUGUAUGAGUACUCUGUCUGGGCUAGCGCUGGAGAGGAACUCAC
Molecule: long non-coding RNA, 2719 nt
Filed under: Cucumis sativus (cucumber)
Lineage: Eukaryota; Viridiplantae; Streptophyta; Magnoliopsida; Cucurbitales; Cucurbitaceae
Description: long non-coding RNA (CSAT_LNC002887)
Source: RNAcentral